UACGGGGGGAGCAAGCGUUGUUCGGAUUUACUGGGCGUAAAGGGCUCGUAGGCGGCCAACUAAGUCAGACGUGAAAUCCCUCGGCUUAACCGGGGAACUGCAUCUGAUACUGGAUGGCUUGAGUUCGGGAGAGGGAUGCGGAAUUCCAGGUGUAGCGGUGAAAUGCGUAGAUAUCUGGAGGAACACCGGUGGCGAAGGCGGCAUCCUGGACCGACACUGACGCUGAGGAGCGAAAGCGUGGGGAGCGAACAGG
This 253-nucleotide ribosomal RNA is filed under the name uncultured bacterium. Its description in RNAcentral is "partial 16S ribosomal RNA". It matches the Rfam family "Bacterial small subunit ribosomal RNA", at positions 524 to 776 of the family's 1533-position model. The record is from RNAcentral.